GACGAACGCUGGCGGCGUGCUUAACACAUGCAAGUCGAACGGAAAGGCCCUGCUUUUGUGGCGUGCUCGAUUGGCGAACGGGUGAGUAACACGUGAGUAUCCUGCCCUUGUCUUUGGGAUAACUUCUGGAAACUGGGGCUCUUACCGCAUAUGAUCUCCUGCUGCAUGUUGGGGGUUGGAAAGUUCGGGCGGUUGUGGAUGGACUCGCGGCUUAUCAGCUUGUUUGUGUGGUAGUGGCUUACCAAGGCUUUGAGGGGUAGCCGGCCUGAGAGGGUGAACGGCGACAUGGGGACUGAGAUAGGGACCAGAAGGGAACGGGAGGCAGUAGGGGGGAAUAUGGCACAAUGGGCGGAAGUGAGAGGCAGAAAUGCCCGGUGCGGAAUAAUGGCUUACGGGUGGAAAACAGAUGUGGAAGGUGACGAAGAGGGAGUGACGGUAAUGGGUAAAGAAGCACCGGCUAACUACGUG
This 468-nucleotide ribosomal RNA is filed under the name uncultured bacterium. RNAcentral's name for it is "partial 16S ribosomal RNA". It matches the Rfam family "Bacterial small subunit ribosomal RNA", at positions 28 to 507 of the family's 1533-position model. The record is from RNAcentral.